CUCAAAUGCAGGGUUCUUAUGUUUUUCUCUGGAGUGGUAUUGAGGAUUUGCCUAUGCUUCAGCUGCUGCUGUUUGCAAGAUGGGCAGGAGCCCCAGGAAUGCUACCAGCAAAUGCUGCAUCUCAGGUUUAUAGACUGAUGGGACCUGAAAUAAGGAGCUUCCACACGUCCUCCUGAGCCAACCAAGGGCGUAUGGCCUUCUUGUGAGAUCUUGGCCGUGGCUCAGGAGGUGAUACUGAGGAAGAACAGCUUCCAUGAGGAAAGGGGCUGCACCCAGCUGGCAUCCUGCAAUGCAGUUUGCUUGGAGGGGCUUGCUCAGAACAUCUUGGUCCUUGUGCAGGAGGGUCAGGAACUGCUCUGGUGUGUCGUUUGGAAGUUGUUUGUGCUUCAGUGUUUUCAAAGGUUGGCUUUCCCAAUUCUUCUGGCUUUCAGUCUUGUAUUUAGCAGCUAUACCUUUUAUCAGGGAAAGCAUGUCAAGGCAGAUUCCUGCAAGAAAGCAGAACUCCGGUGUUAUUCUGCAGAGGCUUACCAUAGGAUGGCUCUUCCUUUUAGUAAGGAAAAGUUCAGGAGCAAGCCCAAGCCACAGGUUUCAGAUCAGGAUCCAGGCUUCUUUAAAAUACCCUGAAGCUGGGAGGUGCUUGCCCUGGAACAAGAGCUGGCAUAUGGUCAGCUUG
This is a non-coding RNA of Phasianus colchicus (ring-necked pheasant), 673 nucleotides long. NCBI's taxonomy places the organism in Eukaryota, Metazoa, Chordata, Aves, Galliformes, Phasianidae. The record is from RefSeq and is a predicted model, not a curated record.